AUCACAUUGCCAGGGAAUUCCAA
This 23-nucleotide microRNA is filed under the name Oryctolagus cuniculus (rabbit). RNAcentral describes it as "Ocu-Mir-23-P3_3p (mature (guide))". The record is from RNAcentral. Lineage: Eukaryota; Metazoa; Chordata; Mammalia; Lagomorpha; Leporidae.